Molecule: long non-coding RNA, 954 nt
Filed under: Glycine max (soybean)
Lineage: Eukaryota; Viridiplantae; Streptophyta; Magnoliopsida; Fabales; Fabaceae
Description: long non-coding RNA (GMAX_LNC000477)
Source: RNAcentral
UUACAAUCCAACCCCAUCAACUCCCCCUAGUGGUGGAAGCUAUGAUCCAACUCCAUCACCACCCUCAGAUGGAGGUGAAAAUUGCAAUCCAACCCCAUCAACUCCUCCCGGUGGUGGAAGCUAUGAUCCAACUCCAUCACCACCCUCAAGUGGUGGUGGUGGAAGUUACAAUCCAACCCCAUUAACUCCCCCUGGUGGUGGAAGCUAUGAUACAACUCCAUCACCACCCUUAGGUGGAGGUGGAAGUUACAAUCCAACCCCAUCAACUCCUCCAGGUGGUGGAAGCUAUGAUCCAACUCCAUCACCACCCUCAGGUGAUGGUGGUGGUGGAAGUUACAAUCCAACUCCAUCAACUCCCCCAGGUGGUGGAAGCUAUGAUCCAACCCCAUCACCACCCACAAAUGGUGGAAGUUACAAUCCAACCCCAUCAACUCCUCCUGGUGGUGGAAGCUAUGAUCCAACUCCAUCACCACCCUCGGGUGGUGGAAGUUACAAUCCAACUCCAUCAACUCCCCCAGGUGGUGGAAGCUAUGAUCCAACCCCAUCACCACCCACAAAUGGUGGAAGUUACAAUCCAACCCCAUCAACUCCUCCUGGUGGUGGAAGCUAUGAUCCAACUCCAUCACCACCCUCGGGUGGUGGAAGUUACAAUCCAACUCCAUCAACUCCCCCAGGUGGUGGAAGCUAUGAUCCAACCCCAUCACCACCCACAGAUGGUGGAAGUUAUAAUCCAACUCCAUCACCACCCUCAGGUAGCAACUGUGGAACACCACCACAAGACCCCUCUACUCCAACACCCUCAGUCCCAACAACACCAUCAACCCCAUCAAACCCUCCCUUGGGAGGAGGUGGGUACUAUAACUCACCACCAACUUAUGGAGGUGGUAGCCCCCCAACACCAAUCACUGUGAGCCCACCUUCAACCCCAAUUGAUCCAGGCACCCCCACUAUCCC